This 468-nucleotide ribosomal RNA is filed under the name uncultured bacterium. RNAcentral's name for it is "partial 16S ribosomal RNA". It matches the Rfam family "Bacterial small subunit ribosomal RNA", at positions 28 to 507 of the family's 1533-position model. The record is from RNAcentral.
GACGAACGCUGGCGGCGUGCUUAACACAUGCAAGUCGAACGGAAAGACCCUGCGCUUGUUGGGCUCACGAUUGGCGAACGGGGGAGUAACACGCGAGUAACCCGCCCUUGAAUGUGUGGGAAAUUUAGGGAAAUGGGGCUAAUACCCGAGAGGAGCUCCUGAAGCAUGGGGGGGGUUGGAAAGUUUCGGCCGUUGUGGAUGGACGCGCGGCUUAUCAGCUGGUUGGUGGGGUAGUGGCUGUCGAGGGGUUUGACGGGUAGCCCGCCUGAGAACGUGACCGGCCACAUUAGGACUGAGGUACGGCCCAGACUCCUACGGGACGCAGCAGUCGGGAAUAUUGCACAAUGGGCGGAAGCCUGAUACAGCAACGCCGCGUGCGGGAUGCCGGCCUUCGAGUGAUGAACCGCUUUCGCCGUAGACGAAGCCUGAGUGACGGUAAUGGGUCAAAAAGCACCGGCUAACUACGUG